CCUACGGGGGGCAGCAGUGGGGAAUAUUGCACAAUGGGCGCAAGCCUGAUGCAGCCAUGCCGCGUGUGUGAAGAAGGCCUUCGGGUUGUAAAGCACUUUCAGCGGGGAGGAAGGCGGUGAGGUUAAUAACCUCAUCGAUUGACGUUACCCGCAGAAGAAGCACCGGCUAACUCCGUGCCAGCAGCCGCGGUAAUACGGAGGGUGCAAGCGUUAAUCGGAAUUACUGGGCGUAAAGCGCACGCAGGCGGUCUGUCAAGUCGGAUGUGAAAUCCCCGGGCUCAACCUGGGAACUGCAUUCGAAACUGGCAGGCUAGAGUCUUGUAGAGGGGGGUAGAAUUCCAGGUGUAGCGGUGAAAUGCGUAGAGAUCUGGAGGAAUACCGGUAGCGAAGGCGGCCCCCUGGACAAAGACUGACGCUCAGGUGCGAAAGCGUGGGGAGCAAACAGGAUUAGAUACCCCUGUAGUC
RNAcentral lists this ribosomal RNA (465 nucleotides) under uncultured Klebsiella sp. RNAcentral describes it as "bacterial SSU rRNA". It matches the Rfam family "Bacterial small subunit ribosomal RNA", at positions 338 to 795 of the family's 1533-position model. Lineage: Bacteria; Pseudomonadati; Pseudomonadota; Gammaproteobacteria; Enterobacterales; Enterobacteriaceae. The record is from RNAcentral.